AGGGGCAGCCUGAUCCAGCAUGCCGCGUGCAGGAAGAAGGCCUUCGGGUUGUAAACUGCUUUUGUCAGGGAAGAAAUCUUCUGGGCUAAUACCCCGGGAGGAUGACGGUACCUGAAGAAUAAGCACCGGCUAACUACGUGCCAGCAGCCGCGGUAAUACGUAGGGUGCGAGCGUUAAUCGGAAUUACUGGGCGUAAAGCGUGCGCAGGCGGCUUUGCAAGACAGAUGUGAAAUCCCCGGGCUCAACCUGGGAACUGCAUUUGUGACUGCAAGGCUAGAGUACGGCAGAGGGGGAUGGAAUUCCGCGUGUAGCAGUGAAAUGCGUAGAUAUGCGGAGGAACACCAAUGGCGAAGGCAAUCCCCUGGGCCUGUACUGACGCUCAUGCACGAAAGCGUGGGGAGCAAACAGGAUUAGAUACCCUGGUAGUCCACGCCCUAAACGAUGUCAACUGGUUGUUGGACGGCUUGCUGUUCAGUAACGAAGCUAACGCGUGAAGUUGACCGCCUGGGGAGUACGGCCGCAAGGUUGAAACUCAAAUGAAUUGAC
RNAcentral lists this ribosomal RNA (546 nucleotides) under uncultured bacterium. RNAcentral describes it as "bacterial SSU rRNA". It matches the Rfam family "Bacterial small subunit ribosomal RNA", at positions 373 to 914 of the family's 1533-position model. The record is from RNAcentral.